AGAGUUUGAUCAUGGCUCAGAUUGAACGCUGGCGGUAUGCUUAACACAUGCAAGUCGAACGGUAACAGUCCCUCACCUAGAAAUUUCUUAAAAAGAGAUUUGUAGGUGAGGGAGCUGACGAGUGGCGGACGGGUGCGUAAUGUAUAGGAAUCUGCCUAGUAGUGGGGGACAACUCGGAGAAAUUCGAGCUAAUACCGCAUAAGCCCUACGGGGGAAAACGGGGGAUCUUCGGACCUCGUGCUAUUAGAUGAGCCUAUAUUAGAUUAGCUUGUUGGUGAGGUAAUGGCUUACCAAGGCGACGAUCUAUAGCUGGUCUGAGAGGAUGAUCAGCCACACUGGGACUGAGACACGGCCCAGACUCCUACGGGAGGCAGCAGUGGGGAAUAUUGGACAAUGGGCGAAAGCCUGAUCCAGCAAUACCGCGUGUGUGAAGAAGGCCUGAGGGUUGUAAAGCACUUUCAAUUGGGAGGAAUACCUAAUAGUUAAUAGCUAUUAGAUUGAC
Molecule: ribosomal RNA, 502 nt
Filed under: uncultured bacterium
Lineage: Bacteria
Description: bacterial SSU rRNA
Rfam family: Bacterial small subunit ribosomal RNA
Source: RNAcentral